RNAcentral lists this unclassified non-coding RNA (240 nucleotides) under soil metagenome. RNAcentral describes it as "partial contains 5.8S ribosomal RNA, internal transcribed spacer 2, and large subunit ribosomal RNA". The record is from RNAcentral.
AACGAGGCCGACCUGCGGCUGAGUUACCUGCGGAGGGAUCAUUAUCGAGUUGCAAAACUCCCUAAACCAUUGUGAACCUACCUGUACCGUUCCUUCGGCGGGCGGCGUCAAGCCCUAACCCGGUCCCCUUUACGGGGGAUGGACCCGCCGGAGGCUCCUAAACUCUUAAUUUUAGUUGGCAUCUCUGAGUAAAUCAAAAUAAGUCAAAACUUUUAACAAUGGAUCUCAGAUCGGAAGAGC